RNAcentral lists this ribosomal RNA (253 nucleotides) under uncultured bacterium. RNAcentral describes it as "partial 16S ribosomal RNA". It matches the Rfam family "Bacterial small subunit ribosomal RNA", at positions 524 to 776 of the family's 1533-position model. The record is from RNAcentral.
UACGAGGGGUGCAAGCGUUGCUCGGAAUUAUUGGGCGUAAGGGGUUGGUAGGUGGUCUUGUUUGUCUAGGGUGAAAUCCCAUGGCUUAACUGUGGAAGUGCCCUAGAAACGGCAAGACUAGAGUCCUAGAGGGGUUUGUGGAAUUCCCGGUGUAGCGGUGAAAUGCGUAGAGAUCGGGAGGAACACCAGCGGCGAAGGCGGCAAACUGGAUAGGCACUGACACUCAACAACGAAAGCGUGGGGAGCAAACAGG